AGCACCAUGCCGCGUGGAGGAUGAAGGCCCUCUGGGUUGUAAACUUCUUUUAUAUGGGACGAAAAAGGGACUUUCUAGUUCAACUGACGGUACCAUAGGAAUAAGCACCGGCUAACUCCGUGCCAGCAGCCGCGGUAAUACGGAGGGUGCAAGCGUUAUCCGGAUUCACUGGGUUUAAAGGGAGCGUAGGUGGGUUGAUAAGUCAGUGGUGAAAUCUUCGAGCUUAACUCGGAAACUGCCAUUGAUACUAUCAGUCUUGAAUAUUGUGGAGGUUAGCGGAAUAUGUCAUGUAGCGGUGAAAUGCUUAGAUAUGACAUAGAACACCAAUUGCGAAGGCAGCUGGCUACACAUAUAUUGACACUGAGGCUCGAAAGCGUGGGGAUCAAACAGGAUUAGAUACCCUGGUAGUCCACGCCCUAAACUAUGGAUACUCGACAUACGCGAUACACUGUGUGUGUCUGAGCGAAAGCAUUAAGUAUCCCACCUGGGAAGUACGAUCGCAAGAUUGAAACUCAAAUGAAUUGACGGAUAA
Molecule: ribosomal RNA, 532 nt
Filed under: uncultured bacterium
Lineage: Bacteria
Description: bacterial SSU rRNA
Rfam family: Bacterial small subunit ribosomal RNA
Source: RNAcentral